AUGCAUGUCUAAGUACAAGCCGAUUUAAGGCGAAACCGCGAAUGGCUCAUUAAAUCAGCUAUGAUUCAUUGGAUCUGUACCCACACUUACUUGGAUAACUGUGGUAAUUCUAGAGCUAAUACAUGCACCACGUCUCUGACCGCAAGGGAAGAGCGCUUUUAUUAGUUCAAAACCGGUCGGGCCUCGGUCCGUCACCCCACUGUGUUGAAUCUGAAUAACUUUUUGCUGAGCGCACGGUCUCCGCACCGGCGCCGCCUCUUUCAAGUGUCUGCCUUAUCAGCUUUCGAUUGUAGGUUAUACGCCUACAAUGGCUAUAACGGGUAACGGGGAAUCAGGGUUCGAUUCCGGAGAGGGAGCCUGAGAAACGGCUACCACAUCUAAGGAAGGCAGCAGGCACGCAAAUUACCCACUCCCGGCACGGGGAGGUAGUGACGAAAAAUAACGAUGCGAGACUCAUCCGAGGCCUCGCAAUCGGAAUGAGUACACUUUAAAUCCUUUAACGAGGAUCUAUUGGAGGGCAAGUCUGGUGCCAGCAGCCGCGGUAAUUCCAGCUCCAAUAGCGUAUAUUAAAGUUGUUGCGGUUAAAAAGCUCGUAGUUGGGAUUUCAGUUCUGGACUGACGGUUCACCGCCCGGUGCACACUGUCACGCUCCGAACAGCCACAACAGCCCGCUGGCUCGCACGGGGUGCUCUUUACCGAGUGUCCCG
RNAcentral lists this ribosomal RNA (707 nucleotides) under Goneplax rhomboides. Its description in RNAcentral is "SSU rRNA". It matches the Rfam family "Eukaryotic small subunit ribosomal RNA", at positions 51 to 745 of the family's 1831-position model. Lineage: Eukaryota; Metazoa; Arthropoda; Malacostraca; Decapoda; Goneplacidae. The record is from RNAcentral.